GGAAUAUUGGACAAUGGGCGCAAGCCUGAUCCAGCCAUGCCGCGUGGGUGAUGAAGGCCCUAGGGUUGUCAAGCCCUUUCGGCGGGGACGAUAAUGCCGGUACCCGCAGAAGAAGCCCCGGCUAACUUCGUGCCAGCAGCCGCGUUAAUACGAAGGGGGCUAGCGUUGCUCGGAAUCACUGGGCGUAAAGCGCACGUAGGCGGCUUCUUAAGUCGGUGGUGAAAUCCUGGAGCUCAACUCCAGAACUGCCUUCGAUACUGAGAGGCUCGAGUCCGGGAGAGGUGAGUGGAACUGCGAGUGUAGAGGUGAAAUUCGUAGAUAUUCGCAAGAACACCAGUGGCGAAGGCGGCUCACUGGCCCGGUACUGACGCUGAGGUGCGAAAGCGUGGGGAGCAAAC
RNAcentral lists this ribosomal RNA (398 nucleotides) under uncultured bacterium. RNAcentral's name for it is "bacterial SSU rRNA". It matches the Rfam family "Bacterial small subunit ribosomal RNA", at positions 358 to 773 of the family's 1533-position model. The record is from RNAcentral.